AAAGUCCAACGGGGCGCAGCAGUGGGGAAUAUUGCACAAUGGGGGAAACCCUGAUGCAGCAACGCCGCGUGAGUGAUGACGGCUUUCGGGUUGUAAAUCUCUGUCUUCAGGGACGAUAAUGACGGUACCUGAGGAGGAAGCCACGGCUAACUACGUGCCAGCAGCCGCGGUAAUACGUAGGUGGCGAGCGUUGUCCGGAUUUACUGGGCGUAAAGGGAGCGUAGGCGGACUUUUAAGUGAGAUGUGAAAUACUCGGGCUCAACUUGAGUGCUGCAUUUCAAACUGGAAGUCUAGGGUGCAGGAGG
This 305-nucleotide ribosomal RNA is filed under the name uncultured bacterium. RNAcentral's name for it is "bacterial SSU rRNA". It matches the Rfam family "Bacterial small subunit ribosomal RNA", at positions 333 to 655 of the family's 1533-position model. The record is from RNAcentral.